Molecule: ribosomal RNA, 385 nt
Filed under: uncultured bacterium
Lineage: Bacteria
Description: bacterial SSU rRNA
Rfam family: Bacterial small subunit ribosomal RNA
Source: RNAcentral
AUUGAACGCUGGCGGCAUGCCUUACACAUGCAAGUCGAACGGUAACGGGCCUUCGGGUGCCGACGAGUGGCGAACGGGUGAGUAAUGCAUCGGAACGUACCUUUCAGUGGGGGAUAACGUAGCGAAAGUUACGCUAAUACCGCAUAUUCUGUGCGCAGGAAAGCAGGGGAUCGCAAGACCUUGCGCUGAUUGAGCGGCCGAUGUCAGAUUAGCUAGUUGGUGAGGUAAAGGCUCACCAAGGCGACGAUCUGUAGCGGGUCUGAGAGGAUGAUCCGCCACACUGGAACUGAGACACGGUCCAGACUCCUACGGGAGGCAGCAGUGGGGAAUUUUUGGACAAUGGGGGCAACCCUGAUCCAGCCAUGCCGCGUGAGUGAAGAAGGCC